This is a long non-coding RNA of Octodon degus (degu), 800 nucleotides long. RefSeq lists it as uncharacterized. The transcript has 3 exons. The record is from RefSeq and is a predicted model, not a curated record. NCBI's taxonomy places the organism in Eukaryota, Metazoa, Chordata, Mammalia, Rodentia, Octodontidae.
UCCAGGGGAAAAGCUGCAGUUCUGCUCUUGCAACACAAGGAGCAGACUGGAGAAUUUAGAUCUGCGUCACAGAGCUCAGAGAGAGAGAGAGAGAGAGAGAGAGAGAGAGAGAGAAAGAGCGAGCGAGCGAGCGAGCGAGUGAGCUCCGUCCAUAGGUCUGCUAGCAACAGCCGUGCUGCAGAGAGGGAGAGAAAUCAAGAACCAAGUCAUAGCAACACCAGGCACCGGGUUCCGUGAGCUCACUUGCCAAGCCUGAGAUCUGCUGGGGCUGGAGGCCUCUGGGUAGUCUGGGCUGAGGAGAUGUCACACAAGGUGGCACGGGCGGUUCCCGUAGGGAGAAGGUGGGGGGGCAGGGGUGGGAGCAAGAGGUUGCGGGGCGACAGCAGAAGGUUUAACGGGACCAGAUUCUGGAACAUUCGGGACUGCGGCACCUCACGGCCGGACGGAGAUUUGGGUCUGCGCAGGCAGCGAUGGGUGGUCCGAUGGGCUUUGGGACUUGAUGGCGUAGCCCACUUCUUCUUCAUGAGACUUGCAGCGACGUCGGGCUGUCCAGAAGUCCUCCAGAGCCAGCCCUGAGCAGAGCCCACCACAGGAAGGAGCACCUUCCUUUCGGAAGCUGUUGACGCUGCCUGGUGCAUGGAAAGUGGUAUUUUCCAUGCCUGUUCUCCACCGUGUCCACCUGUGGCAGACCCACCUCGUCCACGGACCUCUCCUCAUCUUCCUCGCGAGAAGCAGUCCUCGUCCCACUCCUGCUGCUUCGACACACCUGCUGCUGUACCCCGUAUGCUUUGCCCUUCUUU